CAGCCGUAAACUAUGCGCGUUAGGUGUAUCGGUGACCACGAGUUACCGAGGUGCCGAAGGGAAACCGUGAAACGUGCCGCCUGGGAAGCACGGUCGCAAGGCUGAAACUUAAAGGAAUUGGCGGGGGAGCACCACAACAGGUGGAGCCUGCGGUUUAAUUGGACUCAACGCCGGGAAGCUCACCGGAUAGGACAGCAGAAUGAUUGCCGGGCUGAAGACCCUGCAUGACUAGCUGAGAGGUGGUGCAUGGCGUCAGUGACU
Molecule: ribosomal RNA, 261 nt
Filed under: uncultured archaeon
Lineage: Archaea
Description: partial 16S ribosomal RNA
Rfam family: Archaeal small subunit ribosomal RNA
Source: RNAcentral